This 465-nucleotide ribosomal RNA is filed under the name uncultured bacterium. RNAcentral describes it as "partial 16S ribosomal RNA". It matches the Rfam family "Bacterial small subunit ribosomal RNA", at positions 338 to 795 of the family's 1533-position model. The record is from RNAcentral.
CCUACGGGGCGCAGCAGUGGGGAAUAUUGCUCAAUGGGCGCAAGCCUGACGCAGCGACGCCGCGUGAGGGAUGAAGGUCUUCGGAUCGUAAACCUCUUUCAGCAGGGAAGAACGGUCACUGUGCUAAUCAGCAGUGAAUUGACGGUACCUGCAAAGGAAGCACCGGCUAACUCCGUGCCAGCAGCCGCGGUAAUACGGAGGGUGCGAGCGUUAAUCGGAAUUACUGGGCGUAAAGCGCUCGUAGGCGGUAUGUCAAGUCAAGGGUGAAAUCCCCGCGCUCAACGUGGGAAGUGCCUUUGAAACUGGCAAGCUGGAGUGUGUGAGAGGAUAGUGGAAUUCCAGGUGUAGGAGUGAAAUGCGUAGAGAUCAGGCGGAACAUCAGUGGCGAAGGCGACUAUCUGGCACAUAACUGACGCUGAGGAGCGAAAGCGUGGGUAGCAAACAGGAUUAGAUACCCGGGUAGUC